Non-coding RNA from Dipodomys ordii (Ord's kangaroo rat), 43 nucleotides. NCBI's taxonomy places the organism in Eukaryota, Metazoa, Chordata, Mammalia, Rodentia, Heteromyidae. The record is from Rfam.
GGGAAGGUGGCUCAGUGGUAGAGCGCUUGCCUUGCAUGCAUGA